This 407-nucleotide ribosomal RNA is filed under the name uncultured Angustibacter sp. RNAcentral's name for it is "bacterial SSU rRNA". It matches the Rfam family "Bacterial small subunit ribosomal RNA", at positions 355 to 774 of the family's 1533-position model. The record is from RNAcentral. Lineage: Bacteria; Bacillati; Actinomycetota; Actinomycetes; Kineosporiales; Kineosporiaceae.
UGGGGAAUAUUGCGCAAUGGGCGAAAGCCUGACGCAGCGACGCCGCGUGAGGGAUGAAGGCCUUCGGGUUGUAAACCUCUUUCAGCAGGGAAGAAGCGAAAGUGACGGUACCUGCAGAAGAAGCACCGGCUAACUACGUGCCAGCAGCCGCGGUAAUACGUAGGGUGCAAGCGUUGUCCGGAAUUAUUGGGCGUAAAGAGCUCGUAGGCGGUUUGUCGCGUCUGCUGUGAAAUCCCAGGGCUUAACCCUGGGCCUGCAGUGGGUACGGGCAAACUAGAGUGCGGUAGGGGAGAUCGGAAUUCCUGGUGUAGCGGUGAAAUGCGCAGAUAUCAGGAGGAACACCGGUGGCGAAGGCGGAUCUCUGGGCCGUAACUGACGCUGAGGAGCGAAAGCAUGGGUAGCGAACA